Nephila pilipes (giant wood spider) is the source of this 75-nucleotide non-coding RNA. The record is from the annotation of a GenBank genome assembly. NCBI's taxonomy places the organism in Eukaryota, Metazoa, Arthropoda, Arachnida, Araneae, Nephilidae.
CCCAGGAUGGCCGAGUGGUUAUGGCAUCAGACUUCUAAUCUGGUGAACGCGGGUUCGAAUCCCGCUUCUGGUCGA